RNAcentral lists this ribosomal RNA (497 nucleotides) under uncultured bacterium. RNAcentral describes it as "partial 16S ribosomal RNA". It matches the Rfam family "Bacterial small subunit ribosomal RNA", at positions 28 to 507 of the family's 1533-position model. The record is from RNAcentral.
GAUGAACGCUGGCGGCGUGCCUAAUACAUGCAAGUCGAGCGGACAGACGCGGCGCUUGCUCCUCUCACGUUAGCGGCGCACGGGUGUGUAACACGUGUAUAACCUACCUGUAAGACUGGUAUAACUUCGGGAAACCGGCGCUAAUACCGGAUAAUCUAUUGAUCCGCAUGGUUCAAUGGUGAAAGACGGUUUUGCUGGCACUUAUAGAUGGAUCCGCGCCGCUUGAGCUAGUUGGUAAGGUAACGGCUUACCAAGGCAACGAUGCGUAGCCGAAGGGAUAGGCGGAUCGGCGACCUGGGAAGUGAGACGCGGACAAGAGUACUAAGGUAGGCAGCAGACUGCAAUCGGCCGCAAUGGGCGAAAGCAUUACGGAGCAACGGGGAGUGAGAGAUGAAGGUCUUCGGAGCGGAAAACUGUGUUAUGAGGUGAGAACAAAUGUGGAAGGAACUAUGCAGGGCUUGACGGUAAUGAGUCAGAAAGCCACGGCUAACUACGUG